CCUACGGGUGGCAGCAGUGAGGAAUAUUGGUCAAUGGGCGCGAGCCUGAACCAGCCAAGUCGCGUGAGGGAAGACGGUCCUAUGGAUUGUAAACCUCUUUUGUCGGGGAGCAAAAGACGCCACGCGUGGCGUUCCGAGAGUACCCGAAGAAAAAGCAUCGGCUAACUCCGUGCCAGCAGCCGCGGUAAUACGGAGGAUGCGAGCGUUAUCCGGAUUUAUUGGGUUUAAAGGGUGCGCAGGCGGAAGAUGAAGUCAGCGGUAAAAUUGAGUGGCUCAACCCCUUCGAGCCGUUGAAACUGGUUGUCUUGAGUGAGUGAGAGGUAUGCGGAAUGCGUGGUGUAGCGGUGAAAUGCAUAGAUAUCACGCAGAACUCCGAUUGCGAAGGCAGCAUACCGGCGCUCAACUGACGCUGAUGCACGAAAGUGUGGGUAUCGAACAGGAUUAGAUACCCGAGUAGUC
Molecule: ribosomal RNA, 459 nt
Filed under: uncultured bacterium
Lineage: Bacteria
Description: partial 16S ribosomal RNA
Rfam family: Bacterial small subunit ribosomal RNA
Source: RNAcentral